GGAGGGGGUUAGCGUUGUUCGGAAUUACUGGGCGUAAAGCGCGCGUAGGCGGAUUAGAAAGUUGGGGGUGAAAUCCCGGGGCUCAACCUCGGAACUGCCUCCAAAACUGCUAGUCUAGAGUUCGAGAGAGGUGAGUGGAAUUCCGAGUGUAGAGGUGAAAUUCGUAGAUAUUCGGAGGAACACCAGUGGCGAAGGCGGCUCACUGGCUCGAUACUGACGCUGAGGUGCGAAAGUGUGGGGAGCAAACAGGAUUAGAUACCCUGGUAGUCCACACCGUAAACGAUGAAUGCCAGUCGUCGGGUAGUAUACUAUUCGGUGACACACCUAACGGAUUAAGCAUUCCGCCUGGGGAGUACGGUCGCAAGAUUAAAACUCAAAGGAAUUGACGGGGGCCCGCACAAGCGGUGGANCAUGUGGUUUAAUUCGAAGCAACGCGCAAAAACCUUACCAACCCUUGACAUCCUGUUGCUACAUCCAAAGAUGGAUGGUUCCCCUUCCCGGGAACCCANUGACAGGUUGCUUGCCUGGCUGUCCUCACUCGUC
RNAcentral lists this ribosomal RNA (543 nucleotides) under uncultured Alphaproteobacteria bacterium. RNAcentral's name for it is "bacterial SSU rRNA". It matches the Rfam family "Bacterial small subunit ribosomal RNA", at positions 527 to 1064 of the family's 1533-position model. Lineage: Bacteria; Pseudomonadati; Pseudomonadota; Alphaproteobacteria. The record is from RNAcentral.